AAAGGAAUUGACGGGGACCCGCACAAGCAGUGGAGCGCCUGGUUUAAUUCGAUGAUCAACGAAAAACCUCACCUGGGCUUGAACCGUAGCUGCAAACUUGAUGAAAGUCGAGAAUCCUUCGAGGGUGCUAUAGAGGUGCUGCAUGGCUGUCGUCAGCUCGUGUCGUGAGAUGUAGGGUUAAGUCCCGUAACGAGCGCAACCCCUAUCUAGUGUUAUAUAUUUCGCUAGAGACUGCCCCGCCUAAACGGGGAGGAAGGAGGGGAUGACGUCCAGUCAUCAUAUCCCUUAUGUCCAGGGCUACACAGACGCUACAAUGGGUAAUACAAUGGGUUGCCAAACCGCGAGGUGGAGCUAAUCCCAUCAAAAUUAUCCUCAGUUCAGAUUGCAGGCUGAAACUCGCCUGCAUGAAGUCGGAAUUGCUAGUAAUCGCGCAUCAGCGUGGCGCGGUGAAUACGUUCUCGGGUCUUGUACACACCGCCCGU
Molecule: ribosomal RNA, 482 nt
Filed under: uncultured bacterium
Lineage: Bacteria
Description: bacterial SSU rRNA
Rfam family: Bacterial small subunit ribosomal RNA
Source: RNAcentral